GAUGAACGCUGGCGGCGCGCCUAACACAUGCAAGUCGAACGGCACCCACCCUCGGGUGGAAGCGAGUGGCGAACGGCUGAGUAACACGUGGAGAACCUGCCCCCUCCCCCGGGAUAGCCGCCCGAAAGGACGGGUAAUACCGGAUACCCCGGGGUGCCGCCUGGCACCCCGGCUAAAGCCCCGACGGGAGGGGAUGGCUCCGCGGCCCAGCAGGUAGACGGCGGGGGGACGGCCCACCGUGCCGACAACGGGUAGCCGGGUUGAGAGACCGACCGGCCAGAUUGGGACUGAGACACGGCCCAGACUCCUACGGGAGGCAGCAGUGGGGAAUCUUGCGCAAUGGGGGGAACCCUGACGCAGCGACGCCGCGUGCGGGACGGAGGCCUUCGGGUCGUAAACCGCUUUCAGCAGGGAAGAGUCAAGACUGUACCUGCAGAAGAAGCCCCGGCUAACUACGUGCCAGCAGCCGCCGUAA
This 475-nucleotide ribosomal RNA is filed under the name uncultured bacterium. Its description in RNAcentral is "partial 16S ribosomal RNA". It matches the Rfam family "Bacterial small subunit ribosomal RNA", at positions 28 to 523 of the family's 1533-position model. The record is from RNAcentral.